GAUGAACGCUGGCGGCGUGCCUAAUACAUGCAAGUCGAGCGAACGGACGAGAAGCUUGCUUUUCUGAUGUUAGCGGCGGACGGGUGAGUAACACGUGGAUAACCUACCUAUAAGACUGGGAUAACUUCGGGAAACCGGAGCUAAUACCGGAUAAUAUUUUGAACCGCAUGGUUCAAAAGUGAAAGACGGUCUUGCUGUCACUUAUAGAUGGAUCCGCGCUGCAUUAGCUAGUUGGUAAGGUAACGGCUUACCAAGGCAACGAUGCAUAGCCGACCUGAGAGGGUGAUCGGCCACACUGGAACUGAGACACGGUCCAGACUCCUACGGGAGGCAGCAGUAGGGAAUCUUCCGCAAUGGGCGAAAGCCUGACGGAGCAACGCCGCGUGAGUGAUGAAGGUCUUCGGAUCGUAAAACUCUGUUAUUAGGGAAGAACAUAUGUGUAAGUAACUGUGCACAUCUUGACGGUACCUAAUCAGAAAGCCACGGCUAACUACGUGCCAGCAGCCGCGGUAAUACGUAGGUGGCAAGCGUUAUCCGGAAUUAUUGGGCGUAAAGCGCGCGUAGGCGGUUUUUUAAGUCUGAUGUGAAAGCCCACGGCUCAACCGUGGAGGGUCAUUGGAAACUGGAAAACUUGAGUGCAGAAGAGGAAAGUGGAAUUCCAUGUGUAGCGGUGAAAUGCGCAGAGAUAUGGAGGAACACCAGUGGCGAAGGCGACUUUCUGGUCUGUAACUGACGCUGAUGUGCGAAAGCGUGGGGAUCAAACAGGAUUAGAUACCCUGGUAGUCCACGCCGUAAACGAUGAGUGCUAAGUGUUAGGGGGUUUCCGCCCCUUAGUGCUGCAGCUAACGCAUUAAGCACUCCGCCUGGGGAGUACGACCGCAAGGUUGAAACUCAAAGGAAUUGACGGGGACCCGCACAAGCGGUGGAGCAUGUGGUUUAAUUCGAAGCAACGCGAAGAACCUUACCAAAUCUUGACAUCCUUUGACAACUCUAGAGAUAGAGCCUUCCCCUUCGGGGGACAAAGUGACAGGUGGUGCAUGGUUGUCGUCAGCUCGUGUCGUGAGAUGUUGGGUUAAGUCCCGCAACGAGCGCAACCCUUAAGCUUAGUUGCCAUCAUUAAGUUGGGCACUCUAAGUUGACUGCCGGUGACAAACCGGAGGAAGGUGGGGAUGACGUCAGAUCAUCAUGCCCCUUAUGAUUUGGGCUACACACGUGCUACAAUGGACAAUACAAAGGGCAGCGAAACCGCGAGGUCAAGCAAAUCCCAUAAAGUUGUUCUCAGUUCGGAUUGUAGUCUGCAACUCGACUACAUGAAGCUGGAAUCGCUAGUAAUCGUAGAUCAGCAUGCUACGGUGAAUACGUUCCCGGGUCU
This 1372-nucleotide ribosomal RNA is filed under the name uncultured bacterium. RNAcentral's name for it is "bacterial SSU rRNA". It matches the Rfam family "Bacterial small subunit ribosomal RNA", at positions 28 to 1381 of the family's 1533-position model. The record is from RNAcentral.